Molecule: transfer RNA, 83 nt
Filed under: Paenalicyclobacillus cycloheptanicus
Lineage: Bacteria; Bacillati; Bacillota; Bacilli; Caryophanales; Alicyclobacillaceae
Also listed under: 1 other name
Description: Alicyclobacillus cycloheptanicus tRNA-Leu
Rfam family: tRNA
About the family: Transfer RNA (tRNA) molecules are approximately 80 nucleotides in length.
Source: RNAcentral
GCGGGUGUGGCGGAAUUGGCAGACGCACCAGAUUUAGGUUCUGGCGGGCGACCGUGGGGGUUCGAGUCCCUUCACCCGCACCA